CCCGCCCCCGCCAGGGGAGAAGGAGGGCGGGGAGGACAGGGGCGGGCGAGAGGGAGGGACGAGACUAAGGGAUAGAAGAUAGCCGAGGAAGGGUAGGAGGGGCGCCUGGCGUCCCCAACGCACCCCGCGUUUCCCCCGACUCAGAGCCACUUAAGCGCACGGCUUUGCUUGGAGGUUCGCGCCUGUAGCAAUCCGCGCGCCCUGCCUGCUGCAAGUCGCGUCCCCCACCCCACUCCACCCCCCCACCGCCCCGUCAUCAGAGGAGUUUGCUGAGGCUGGGCACCACCCCGGGAGUGCCCCAGGCCGAACUGAAUGGCGCACGCGGCCCGGCACUAGCGGGUGGCUUCGGCAGGGCCAGACCGAGGCCUCAAGUGUUCUUCUUUGAGAUGGGCGGGGCGCAAGGAACCUCACCACCAGAUUGGCAACAGGCGGACCAUGCUCAUGCCGUUCCCGUUCCCGAGGGCCCUUGUCCUUGGCAUGGACUAGAAGGCUUGAGCCUACUCUGGACUGAAGCCCUGCUAACUAACUCGGAGCUGAUCCCAAGCUGGGAGAGCAAGGGUAGAAGAGGAUGUAGCUGCUUCCAGGUGCAGCGCUUCCAGCUUCUGGGCCAUCUCUUUAUGUCGUUGCCGAUACCAGCCGUCAAAAUUGGGGGACCUGAAGAAACGCCUGUGACGGCGAGAGGCGGCUGAAGAGCCGGCCUCGUGCGUUUGGGGGCACCCCCAGCGGCCUGUGCCCAAAUGUUUACCCACCUGUAGAGGCCCAGCCAGUCACCCUUGAGGAUGCAGCUCUACUGAUGAUGAAGAGGGUUGUCUGAUCUGCCUACAGCCCCAUUCCCUCGACAGAACCCGCACGUCUCUCACCCCAUCCGUCCCGAGACUCAGGAGACCUGCUAAAGAAGACAACGUCCCCCCCACCUGCCACCAUGGGGCCUGAGUAGAAAGAAAAAGCGUCAGAAGGCCUGGCCAUCGCCACUGGAGGAAUCUACCUAGUGCA
Peromyscus maniculatus bairdii (prairie deer mouse) is the source of this 993-nucleotide non-coding RNA. Lineage: Eukaryota; Metazoa; Chordata; Mammalia; Rodentia; Cricetidae. The record is from RefSeq and is a predicted model, not a curated record.